Molecule: unclassified non-coding RNA, 3349 nt
Filed under: Lingula anatina
Lineage: Eukaryota; Metazoa; Brachiopoda; Lingulata; Lingulida; Lingulidae
Description: tBC1 domain family member 31, transcript variant X2
Source: RNAcentral
UUUCCCUGGAAAGCGCCAUUUUGGAAUAUUUGUAAACAAGUCGGUUCAGAAACUUAGCAUGUAAAUCAAGUGGUUGUUGGUCCUCAACAUGGCUCUGCAAACAUUGGACCUGUGUAGGAAAGAGUCGGGGAAGAUAUGGCAGAGAAAACCUGUUCCUUCCACUGAUGAUGGUGUCAUGGUACACAUCACUCACAGUGUGUCCAGUCCACUAGCUCUGCAGUCUAGAAACAUACGCUUCCUCCAUGUGGCCUUUGACACAACAGGAGAUCGCUUCGUGGCAGGAGAUUACCAAGGAAACAUGUUUGUCUUUGAUCUCAGCAGAAACAGGUACUCUCUGGUCCAGCGUACAGGGACUCCAUGUUCCUCACUGGCUUUUACUUUAAAAAGAAGAACAGAGUUUCUGGUCGGGAUGUCUGACUAUUCCCUGAAGUGUUAUGAUAUAGAUACCAAAGAGCUUGUAGCCUGGAUGAAGGGUCAUGAGUCUCCCAUACACACUAUAUCUAUCCAUGCCUCUGGACGUUACGCGCUGACCUCCUCCAACGACACCGCCCAGCUCUGGGACCUGGACACUUUUCAGAGGAAGAGGAAGUUGAACAUCAAGGAGAAUGUUGGGAUUGUUAAGGUGUUUUUCCUUCCACUGAGUAACACCAUCAUGACCUGCUUUAAGGAUGACUCCAUCUUUGCCUGGGAGGCCGACACCCUGAACUGCAAGUACCAGUUGCCUAUUCCCCCUGGGAAUGCUCCACACUAUAAGGCCUUUGCUGCCACUAAGGAUGGCAGACUGCUGGUGGCGGGAGGAAAGUCCAGGUUUCUCCAUGUGUGGACACUGGACACCAGGCGUCUACUGAGGAUAAUACAGCUUCCCGCCAAGGUCACCUCAAUGAAGGAGAUGGAGUUCUUGCCUGAUAAGUUUGAUGCUGGUUCCAGUCAGGUCCUGGGUGUCCUCAGUCAAGACGGCAUCAUGAGGUUCAUCCACAUCCACACCUGUAAACUGCUGUUUGACCUGGGCAGUGUAGGUGACAGAAUCAACACCAUGGCUAUGUCUCCUACUGGACACCACGUGGUCGGAGUGAUGGAGGACGGGAAUCUUAAUAUAUACAGUGUACAGGCACUGACUGCAGAGUUAAAUAAGCCUCCUCCCCCGUUGGUGUCAGUGGUAUCAUCUCAGAAGAAGCAGGAGACAGGGGAUGUCACAUCAUCGUCGCAGGCAGACAUGACCCAGGGGAAACGAGCUUCCAGGUUAAAACGUAAAGCCCGCUUGGCUCAGGGCAGCGAGGUGUCGGCUGUGGAUGUGAAACCAAAGAAAACUAGUCAUGAACAGGUUGGACUACCUGAGGGCCUGAACAUGGAUAAACUGAUGGCUAUAUUGAGGGGCUAUGGAGAGUAUCCAGCUAAAUAUAGGAUGUUUAUCUGGCGUUCCAUCUUGCGGCUACCAGAGAACCACGCAGCGUAUGCCUCCCUAGUAGACAAGGGCACGCACCCGGCGUAUGAAAACAUACAUGAGAAGUUUCCUAUCAAGAGCAGAAAAUUGUUGAGAGUGCUGCAGAGAACCCUGUCGGCGCUCUCUCACUGGUCGGCCAUCUUUGGUGAGAUGGACUACCUGCCUCUCCUGACCUUCCCCUUUGUGAAGCUGUUCCAGAAUAACCAGUUAGUGCUGUUUGAGAUCAUAGCAACUGUCCUAGUAAACUGGUGUCAGCACUGGUUUGAGUUCUUCCCCAACCCUCCCAUCAAUGUUCUGGGGAUGGUGGAGAACGUCCUCGCCUUUCAGGACAAGGAGCUGCUCCAGCAUUUUGUCAAGUACGGCGUCACCUCACAGAUCUAUGCGUGGCCCGUGCUGGAGACGCUUUUCUCUGAAGUACUUACCAAGGAUGAGUGGUUACGACUGUUCGACAACGUGCUCAGUAACCACCCCGCAUUUCUCCUCAUGUGCGUGGUGGCAUACUGCACGGCAUGCAGAGGACCUUUGUUACAGUGUAUAGAGUUUGAUGAUUUUAAGUACUUCUUCCACCACCGUAAUGCCGUGGACAUAGGGGACGUGAUUAAAGAAGCGUAUAGGAUUCAGGAGACCACCCCACCUGACGUCCACCCUGAGAGGAUGCUGGACACGUUCCAGCCACUGACCAGGGGACAGUACCCAGUGUUUAAUAAAUAUCCCAAGUUUAUUGUGGACUAUCAGGUUCAAGAAAGAGAAAGAAUUCGUGAGGAAGAACUGGAGUACCUGCGACAGCGGCAGGUGUCUCUUGAGCUCCAGAAAGAGACUGAGCGUCGUCAGCAGGAGGAGGCUGCAUGGUACAGACAGCAGGAGCUGCUUCUGGAGGCGGAGGAGAAGAGGAGGAAGAUGAUCUCAGAGGAGGAGGAGAAGCUUUAUGAACAGAGGUCAAGGCUUCAGGCCAUGAAUCGUGAAGUAAAGAUGAAGGAAAUGAAGCUGCUUGAUGCCACAAGAAGAAAAUACAUGAAUUAUCAGCAGAAACAGAGGACAUCAGAAAUCAAGAGACUGGAUGAUGAAAUACAGAGAAAGGCUGCUAUGAGGGAGAUGGAAACUCAGCAUGCAGUGCAGGAAGCAGAGAUAAAAAAUCUGGAGUUACAGCUCCAGAAGAAAAUGUUUGAACAGGAAUUAUACAGAGAGCAUGCAGAGACCACCCAAAAACUACGCUCUGAGUAUGACGCCUUCAGGAAACGCCAGGAAAUUGAAGAUAGGGGACAGCACCGUGUUAACCUGGCAGAGCGAGAGAGGGAACAGGAAAUAAGGAGGAGGCUGCAGCAGAAUCUGGCCCAUGCCGAGCAUGUGACUACAGAUGCUGAGACAAGAAAACAGAUGGAAUACAGACAGGAACUGGAUAACCUGGACAGGGAGAUGCAGAAUGUGCAGCUGGCAAAACUACAAAAUGAAAACCGUGACCUGGAGAAAGAAGUCCACAAACUGAUGAAUGAACUGAAAACUAGAAGGGAAGAAGAGGCCAUAGAGACCCUGGAGGAGCUCCAGGCCCAGAGGCGCCAGGCAGAUGUAGCGGCAGAGAGGAGGACACGUCUCCUCAGGGAGGAAUCUGGUCUGGCUGAGGACCACCUGGAACAGCUGGGGAACACGCUGGACCAGUCCUUUGAGCGUCUCCGAGACCUUAGGCAGAGAGCGACAGAUAACAGAGAUCAGUCUUGUCUGAAUGAGGUUUCCACUGGAACUGAUGGUACCACUACAUGUAAGUAACAGAUAACAGAGAUCAGUCUUGUCUGAAUGAGGUUUCCACAGGAACUGAUGGUACCACUACAUUGUCAUUUGACAGAACAGGCCGCACAAGUUUAGAUGAAGGAGAGGCCAUGCUUAUGCAGGAAGUGAGGAGGUUGAGAGAAAAAC